RNAcentral lists this ribosomal RNA (253 nucleotides) under uncultured bacterium. RNAcentral's name for it is "partial 16S ribosomal RNA". It matches the Rfam family "Bacterial small subunit ribosomal RNA", at positions 524 to 776 of the family's 1533-position model. The record is from RNAcentral.
UACGUAGGGGGCAAGCGUUGUCCGGAAUCAUUGGGCGUAAAGAGCGUGUAGGCGGCCCGGUAAGUCCGCUGUGAAAGUCCAGGGCUCAACCCUGGGAUGCCGGUCGAUACUGCCGGACUAGAGUUCGGAAGAGGCGAGUGGAAUUCCCGGUGUAGCGGUGAAAUGCGCAGAUAUCGGGAGGAACACCUAUGGCGAAGGCAGCUCGCUGGGACGUUACUGACGCUGAGACGCGAAAGCGUGGGGAGCAAACAGG